This 446-nucleotide ribosomal RNA is filed under the name uncultured bacterium. Its description in RNAcentral is "partial 16S ribosomal RNA". It matches the Rfam family "Bacterial small subunit ribosomal RNA", at positions 338 to 795 of the family's 1533-position model. The record is from RNAcentral.
CCUACGGGGGGCAGCAGUAGGGAAUUUUCGGCAAUGGGGGGAACCCUGACCGAGCAACGCCGCGUGAACGAAGAAGUUAUUCGGAAUGUAAAGUUCUUUUAACAGGGAAGAAAGAGAAAUUUGACGGUACCUGAAGAAUAAGCUCCGGCUAACUACGUGCCAGCAGCCGCGGUAAUCCGUAGGGAGCGAUCGGUAUCCGAAAUUAUUGGGCGAAAAGGGUGCGUAGAUGGCAUAGUAAGUCUUUUGGAAAAAUGCUGGGCUCAACCCAGUAGGGCAAAAGAUACUGCAAAGCUAGAGUAUGACAGAGGCAAGUGGAACUACAUGUGUAGCGGUAAAAUGCGUAAAUAUAUGGAAGAACACCAGUGGCGAAGGCGGCUUGCUGGGUCGAUACUGACAUUGAGGCACGAAAGCGUGGGGAGCAAACAGGAUUAGAUACCCCUGUAGUC